GGGGCCGUAGCUCAGUGGUUAGAGCAGGGGACUCAUAAUCCCUUGGUCGGGGGUUCGAAUCCCUCCGGCCCUA
RNAcentral lists this transfer RNA (73 nucleotides) under Planctomycetaceae bacterium. RNAcentral describes it as "tRNA-Ile". It matches the Rfam family "tRNA". Rfam says of the family: Transfer RNA (tRNA) molecules are approximately 80 nucleotides in length. Lineage: Bacteria; Pseudomonadati; Planctomycetota; Planctomycetia; Planctomycetales; Planctomycetaceae. The record is from RNAcentral.